CCCUUUCCUUCCUUUCUUUUGGUUUAGAGAAGCCCUUUCAAUAUUUCCUUUAACCUGGGUUUUGUGUUGCUGUAUUCUUUAAGUUUUUGUUUGUUGGGAAAAAUUUUUAUUUCCCCUUCUAUUUUAAAUGAUAUUCUUGCUGGAUAAAGUAUUCUAGGUUGCAUAUUUUUUCCUUUGAGCACUUUAAAUAUCUCUUGCCAUUCCCUCCUGGCCUGUAGUGUUUCUGUAGAGAAAUCAGCUGAUAUUCUUAUGGGGGUUCCCUUGUAGGUAACAUUCUGUUUUUCUCUUGCUGCCUUUAGGAUCCUCUCUUUAUCACUAACUUUUGCCAUUUUUAUUAUGAUGUGUCUUGGUGUGGGUCUGUUUGGGUUCAGUUUGUUUGGGGCCCUCUGUGCUUCUUGUAUCUUGAAUCCAGUAUCCUUUAGAUUUGGGAAGUUUCCAGCGAUAAUUUCUUCAAAUAUAUUUUCCAUUCCCUUAUCUUUUUCUACUCCUUCUGGAAUUCCUAUUAUGCGUAGAUUGGCUCGUUUUAUAUUAUCCCAUAGGUCUCUUAUAUUGCUUUCCAGUUUUUUGAUUCGGUUUUCUGUCUGUUGACCAGAUUGAGUGAUUUCCAUUAUUCUAUCUUCCAUAUCACUGAUUCGUUCUUCUGCAUUAUUCAUUCUGGUUUUUACUGCCCCUAGUUCAGUUUGCAUCUCUGCAAAUGAAUGUUCUAGUUUUUCUUGGCUCCUCCUUAUAUUUUCUAGCUCCUUUCUGAGGGUAUCUGCAUUGCUGUUCAUAUCUUCUCUUAAUUCCUUCAGUAUUUUCACUAUUUCUCUUUUGAACUCCAGGUCUGUCAGACUGCAGAGAUCAGUUUCAUUGUUGACUGUUUUAGGUGAGUUCUCCUGUUGGUUUGACUGGGGGUGGUUUCUCAGCUUCUUCAUCUUGCUUGUUGUCUUCUUUCUCCUGAGGGAGUUGUACUCUCCGUUAUCGGGUAGUGUUUGCCUUGUCACUGCCGUGGAAUAUUUCCUGAGGGCUGUCGUUGUUGGUCAAUCUUUUUUUUGAGGCAGUGUGGCUUUUCUGGAGUGUUGAUGGGACUAACAGUGUUUCUUUGAAGCAAAGGAGGACUUCCUGAGGGCAGACAGGACUGGGAGGUCCACCCCACGAUGGUAGCAGAUUUCACUUGGUUCUCAGCACCCCCUGGGGUCUUGGGCGGGUAGCAGGGCCCUUGGAGACUCAAGAGGUUCCUCCCCAGGGCAGCCCGAUUCAGAAAGACCGUCUGAGAUCUUUUCCCGAUUCCGCCAGGCUUGUUGCAGCUUUUCUGGGCUGCAGGGGGUCCUGCCUGGAGCUGGCAGUCCUAUGCAGCUGGUCCACUAGGUCUCAGCACCCCUUGGGGUCUUGGGCGAGUAGCAGGGCCUUUGGAGACUCAAGAGGCUCCUCCCCAGAACAGCCCGACUCAGAAAGACCGUCUGAGAUCUUUUCCCAAUUCGGCCAGGCUUGUUGCAGCUUUUCUGGGCUGCAGGGGGUCCUGCCUGGAGCUGGCAGUCCUAUGCAGCUGGUCCACUAGGUCUCAGCACCCCUUGGGGUCUUGGGCGGGUAGCAGGGCCCUUGGAGACUCAAGAGGCUCCUCCCCAGGGCAGCCCGAUUCAGAAAGACCGUUUGAGAUCUUUUCCCGAUUCGGCCAGGCUUGUUGCAGCUUUUCUGGGCUGCAGGGGGUCCUGCCUGGAGCUGGCAGUCCUAUGCAGCUGGUCCAAUAGGUCUCAGCACCCCCUGGGGUCUUGGGCGGGUAGCAGGGCCCUUGGAGGCUCAAGAGGCUCCUCCCCAGGACAGCCCGACUCAGAAAGACCGUCUGAGAUCUUUUCCCGAUUCCGCCAGGCUUGUUGCAGCUUUUCUGGGCUGCAGGGGGUCCUGCCUGGAGCUGGCAGUCCUAUGCAGCUGGUCCACUAGGUCUCAGCACCCCUUGGGGUCUUGGGCGGGUAGCAGGGCCCUUGGAGACUCAAGAGGCUCCUCCCCAGGACAGCCCGACUCAGAAAGACCGUCUGAGAUCUUUUCCCAAUUCGGCCAGGCUUGUUGCAGUUUUUCUGGGCUGCAGGGGGUCCUGCCUGGGGCUGGCAGUCCUAUGCAGCUGGUCCCCUAGGUCUUAGCACCCCCUGGGGUCUUGGGCGUGUAGCAAGGCCCUUGGAGACUCAAGAGGCUCCUCCCCGGGGGAGCCCGUCUCAGAAAAACCGUCGGAGAAUUAGGUCGAUCUAUUCACGGCCUGGCUAGGCUUGUUCUAGCUUUUCUGGGCUGCAGGCCUUUUCUAGGGGGCUGGUGGUGUUUGGUGCUGCUCUGUGGAAGUGUAGCCCCUCCAAAGGGCAAGCAGGCCUGUGCAGGGAGAGCCCCUGCGGUGGUAGGCUUCAGGCAAUUGUUGAGGCCAGCCCUCCUGGAUGGCAGGCAGCCCCAGUUUCGGCGAGAGCGUAGGGGGUGGCGGGGGUGGGGGGAGGGAAUGCACUGGGAAGCACAGCUUUCUGCUAGCUAGCGGGCCUGUAAGCUUGCUGUGGCGUGGGGGGUAUUCUAUGGGGACCCACCCCUUCUUCUCUCCCCUCCCCAGCACGGGCGCAGACCAGGCUCUUCUCCCAGGUUCCCUCUGAGGCGGCUUUCCACUUCCCCGCCCCUAGAGUAUUGCUCCCUUCCUCUGCGACAGCUUUGUUUUCUAGUCUCUCAGGCAGUCUCUGCCCCGUCAAAUGGUUUAGAGACCUCCCAAGCAGUUUCCGCUCUUCCCCGCCCCCCUAGCCCGGGGACUAAUCUCUGGAGCCGAGGUCUCGGUGCCCAGCCCCCACCCAGGCGGCGCCCCCCGGCCCUUUCUUGGGGACUAACCUUCGGAGGCGAGGUCUCGGUGCCCAGCCCCAACCCAGGCGUCCCCCGGCCCCCUCUCGGGGACCAACCUUCAGAGCUGAGGUCUCGGUGCCCAGCCCCCACCCAGGCGUCCCCCGGCCCUUUCCCGGGGACUAACCUCUGGAGCCGAGGAUUCGGUGCCCAGCCCCCACCCAGGCGUCUCAAUUUUUGGUGACUGUGCCCGUAGUUCAGAUGGUCCGUUGGGUUCUUGAUCGUUUUUCCGUACUCCGACUUACUGCUACACUCUUCUCUGCAUCUGGAGAUUCCUCCGGUUCGUUUGAUCUUUCCCCCGGUAGGAGACUUUCCAGGGUGCGGGAUCCCUUUCUCCUCCGCAGUUCCCUUUCGGGAGCGCCCGUCCCGCUCGGAUUCACCUUCUCUCACUCUCCUCUUUUCUCC
This 3240-nucleotide long non-coding RNA is filed under the name Sus scrofa (pig). Its description in RNAcentral is "lncRNA (ENSSSCG00000049421.1)". The record is from RNAcentral. Lineage: Eukaryota; Metazoa; Chordata; Mammalia; Artiodactyla; Suidae.